This is a long non-coding RNA of Syzygium oleosum, 857 nucleotides long. RefSeq lists it as uncharacterized. Lineage: Eukaryota; Viridiplantae; Streptophyta; Magnoliopsida; Myrtales; Myrtaceae. The transcript has 2 exons. The record is from RefSeq and is a predicted model, not a curated record.
UCGGCCGCGUGGUUUCUCGUGAUUGUUUCCCACCUUCUCCUCCUUCCUUCCUUCCUUCCAUCUUCAUCUUCCUCCUUCUUCAUCAUCAUCGCCUCCUCUACCUUCACCUCUGUCACUCGCCUUCCCAGGUUAGACAGCAUGAUUAAUGCUGCGACCGAUCUGGAAAACGAUAAAGCGAUUAAAGAUUUGCUAUGCAUCCGAAUAGGGUCUGUUCGUGUUAAUUACUAUUUAAAAACUAUCACAUCACUCCGCGUGUCAAUGGUCGUGUUCAAAAACGUGACUCGAAUCGAGGCACAUGCAGCGACCACCGGCAACGUCCCACAUGGGUUGUAAACCCCCCUCGCCGCCCGCCUAUACGCGGUGCAGUAAGAAGAGGACUUAUUAGGCAGAUGCAUCGAUUUUCUGUUCACAUGGCACGUUAAACAUGUUCGCAGCGCGAGAAAAUGCAAAAGGUUCAUAUGCAUUUUCCUAGGGAGGCUUAGGACGGUUGAACAUACAAUUACUCAAUGACCGACCCCCUCUCUCUCUCUCUCUCACUCUCUCUCAAAAUAUGAUGCACGAUAUUUACUUGAAAGCAGCAAAUUUUCAAGGAAAGAACAAUUCCUUUUUGUCCUUUUCCUUGAAAUAUGAUACAUUAUGCUCACUUGAAACUAAGUGGUACAAAUGCAAAUGACCCUUAUUUAUCACGGACAGCUACUGCACUUGCAAAGGAAGAAAAAAGUUUGUCUCAUUUUCUAUUUAGGGUUUGCAAUAUUGUCGGGAGAUUUUGUCCUACCUUUGCCUUUACUCAGGUGAGUUGUCCCCGUCACACACAACUUGAGAAUAACGGGGUCGGAAAAUAAAUACUUUUUUCUCAA